This 247-nucleotide ribosomal RNA is filed under the name uncultured bacterium. RNAcentral describes it as "partial 16S ribosomal RNA". It matches the Rfam family "Bacterial small subunit ribosomal RNA", at positions 86 to 334 of the family's 1533-position model. The record is from RNAcentral.
AGAUGGCGACCGGCGCACGGGUGAGUAACACGUAUCCAACCUGCCGAUAACUCGGGGAUAGCCUUUCGAAAGAAAGAUUAAUACCCGAUAGUAUAAUGAAACCGCAUGGUCUUAUUAUUAAAGAAUUUCGGUUAUCGAUGGGGAUGCGUUCCAUUAGGCAGUUGGUGAGGUAACGGCUCACCAAACCUUCGAUGGAUAGGGGUUCUGAGAGGAAGGUCCCCCACAUUGAAACUGAGACACGGUCCAA